GGAACAUUACGGGGACUGUUCCCUUCGUUGUAGAGUCAGUUAGUGUGUGCGGUGAGUAGAGCACUGUAGAUAAGGUUUUACUGUCAGGUCGUCACUGUUGGAAAUGAACGAAAAAUUAUUGUUUGAAGUUGUGGAGAGAGGUGAUAUUCAGUUAGUAACGCGUUUUUUGGAUGUCGGAGUUGAUAUCAAUGGAUGCUAUUGUGGGGACACGCUUCUGAUAAAAGCGUGUAAGAAUAAUCAGAAGGAAAUGGUUGAGUUUCUACUCACUAAAUCAGCAGAUGUUAAUGGGACUGGCAUUGGUGGAUGGACAUGUUUGAUGAAGGCAGCAAGGUAUGGAUUUCAUGAUAUCGUGGAUAUACUUUUGAAGACCAAAGAUAUUAAUGUGAUGAAGAAAGAACGUUGUGGGGGAUGGACAGCCAUCCAUCUUGCUGCAAUGAAUAAUCACGUGACCAUAGUCGAGAGACUUUUGUCUUGUUCUGUUCCUGUUGAUAUCAAUGACAACGAGGGUUGUACACCACUGUGGUGGGCUGCCUUUUAUGGUCAUUUGUGUUAUGUUGAUGUUCUCCUGAAACAUGGAGCGAGUCCCCAACAUGAGAGUAAGAGUGGAAUAUCACCACUGGAGGUUGCCAAGCUACGUGGUCACAGUGAUGUGGUUAAGAUGAUGGAAGAAGCCAUAAGAUUGAGAUCUCAUCCCUAUAUGAUGGGUCAUGUGUCUGUUAUGAGACAUCAAUAUGGACAGAGAAUAAUGUGACAUUUUCAUCUCUAGUGGACUGUUUCCCAAGUUGUGCUUGUGUUGCAUAGAUUAGAGAACUGGAGAGUGAAGUUGAACAGAAAGACGAGGAAAUCUCGUGUCUCAGAAUGUCAGGAGACGAUACAGUAUGACAAGCACACGUAUACAUUGUUCAUACGUACGGUGGGUGCAGGUCUUGAUGAGACUUUGUUGUCGUCACAGCCAGCGAGAGACGUCAUGCAUGCUGUUGUUUCUCUGGCUGGUGAUCAGUGGAGUUGUGUUGGACUUGAGUUGGGAUACGAAUUGUCUGAACUCGAAGCAAUGACAUCGACAAUUCCUCUACCUUCAGGCAAACUGAAUGCAAUACUGAGAAGAAAGGCUAAUGCUGUUGGUACCAGCAAAGUUGUUGGUAUCAUUUUGUCUGCUUGCAAGCAGGUUUCCAUGCCAAUUUGUGCUGCGGCAAUAAGAGAUGAGGUGGUUAGACGUCAAGAGAGACUGAGAACACACAAUGGUGGACAAUAGAAUAAUUGACUUUGUCAAUUUGUUGUUUGUAUGGCUGAUCAUAUAGUUUAUUGUUGAUGUGAGCAAGUGAUGUGUACAUUUUAGAAGAAACACAUCUUUCUUGUUUGUACUGCUACAAGCGUUCUUGUUUUGUUUUUACAUUUAUGGUUAUGUGUUAAUAGAAUAGUUUCAU
Molecule: RNA transcript, 1424 nt
Organism: Corticium candelabrum
Lineage: Eukaryota; Metazoa; Porifera; Homoscleromorpha; Homosclerophorida; Plakinidae
Gene name: ankyrin repeat domain-containing protein 50-like
Exons: 9
Source: RefSeq, a predicted model, not a curated record